RNAcentral lists this small RNA (127 nucleotides) under Marmota monax (woodchuck). Lineage: Eukaryota; Metazoa; Chordata; Mammalia; Rodentia; Sciuridae. The record is from RNAcentral.
GCUGGGCAUGGUGAUGCAUGCCUGUAAUCCCAACGACUUGAGAGGCUGAGGCAGGAGGUUCACAAGUUUGAGGCCAACCUCAGCAAAUUAGCUAGGCCCAAAGCAACUUAGUGAAAUGCUGUCUCAA